Molecule: non-coding RNA, 29 nt
Filed under: Mus musculus (house mouse)
Lineage: Eukaryota; Metazoa; Chordata; Mammalia; Rodentia; Muridae
Source: RNAcentral
UAGGAAAUUUGAGUGUUCCAUCUCUGAGC